CUAACUCUAUAUUUUCCCCGCAAAGGGACAGUUUACAAGAGGCAGGUAUAUAAAUGUAUUUCAAAUUUAUUACAAUUUAGUACAAAAAGUGUGGAAAAGUUAUUAAAAUGGCUCUUAAAUACUGCUAUACAAUUGGUGGAUUCUCCUCAGUCUAGGAAGGUCGGAUCAGCCAAUGCGAAACCCCUGCUCAGGUGGACCCUGGUGAGACAAAAAAAGAAACAGGAGACAGCAACCCAGCACCAGAAGAAGCAUGCAACACAGCAAGCACCACUCAUUCAAGAUCUUCAGAUACCACGACAAAAAAAAAUCUCACACCGUGUUAUGGUUAUAAAGACACCCCAAACCAAUGUCUCUAACAAUGUGGUCCCUUGGCAAGAAGGGGCAAAGCAUCAGUGUGGAUCCGGCCUUGUACAGGGAUAGCCUAAGCAGAAGACAUAGUUAGGGAGGAGACCCACCAGCACGGAUAACACCAGUUUAAGGAACAAUGCUACUACAAGUAGGGCACAUGGGUGGUAGGCUCAGAAGCAAAAUCACAUCACACAAACCAACCAACAAAACAAUAAAAAAAAUGCACAUUAAUCACAAGAAAACAGUGGCUGGCCUGGUCCCUUUUGGGAAAUAAACAAUCAUGUUAGUUGCCAGCCUCAUUAAACAGCAUAUCAUAGUCAACUCAAACAUGGCUAAAAAAUAUAGGCCUACUUUUCAGUAUGCUCAACUGUCCCACAGCUCAUUGACAUAUGAAGACAAAGGUGAACAUUCCGUUGCUACAGACAGAAAAAGUAUUUUAAAACAUGUUCCAAUGCAGAUAUAAAACACUCAAUGGCAUAUUAAGGCAUUUACUGAUGCAGCCCAGCAGCUCAGGUCACAAUGAGGUGAUCACAACACAUUUUAAAACUCCAUGCAGAAGCCUGUGUCCUCCAUGAAGAGUAGACACACACUUCUAGAAAUUACCCUGAUAAAACAAAAUAAAUAUUAAAAUUCAAAUGGCAGUGAUUAAUCAUGCUCUACCAUGACCAACAGUACCUACACUGAAAAGGAAGCCCAACACGCACAACAGUGUCCAGCACCAACACAAAGAGAAUCUGCCUUGCAACCAGCAGACACUUAUCACUUCCUAAUUGGUCAUGUGACUUUUCAAAACAUCAUGUGAUCCUGGGUGUGAACGUGAUGCAACUAGGUUGUGUGCCUGCCUAUGUAGAUCCCCACACUGUUUUGCUGGCAAAUAAACGGUAUCUUGGAGAAAAAAUAAACAUGGUUCUUUCACAAAUGUUACCAACAAUAUACAAAAUGGAUUGAACAUGUUUUUACUUACCCUUUAAAAAUGUUGAAAGAUAAUGUUAAUGUGAACUGAACACAAAACUAGAGACUUGUUUUUAGUAAGAUUUUAUCAGAAAAUAUUUUAGAAUUUUUAGCAUGCAAUUUAAAACAUUGUAAUUGCUUAUUAUAUAUAUAUAUAUAUAUAUAUAUAUAUAUAUAUAUAUAUAUAUAUAUAUAUGUGUGUGUGUGUGUGUGUGUGUGUGUGUGUGUGUAAAAAAAAUGUAUAUAUUUUAAUUGCUUUAAUUAUUGUUUGCCUGGUUUUAUUCUGUGUUCAUGUAACUCUUUUUAAAAAGUUUUUGGCAUAAAGUUAGCCUGCGAUGCUGACAGCACUGAACACAUGACUUUUUAUUAUGAACUAGUAGAUGGUCUUUCCCAAUGAGGCUGUCACCUCUGGCUUUUUAAACUGCAACCUUGAAACAUGCAUUUUCUGUAAACUUACUUUGAAAUAAGUAUUUUAAAAAAGUGCUAUACAUACAACAUAUAACCAUGCAAGUACUGUAGUAGUGGUUAUUAGUUACUAAGGUUUUACUGCAACAGUCAUAGUUAAACCAUGGUGAUUGUAGUAAAACUAUGGUUGAUUUUGUUUUUACUAUGGUUUUACCGCAAGAGCUGUAGUAAAAUCAUGGUUAAAUUUCAAAAGACUACAAGUAAUCCCGAAUUAUCCACUUUUGAUCAAAGCAUCUGGUAAAUGUUAAUGUAUUUGUACAUGUAAUAUGAAAUAAAUGAAAAUAUUAAUAAAGUUGCAUCUGUUCUUGAGA
Molecule: long non-coding RNA, 2075 nt
Filed under: Carassius auratus (goldfish)
Lineage: Eukaryota; Metazoa; Chordata; Actinopteri; Cypriniformes; Cyprinidae
Description: lncRNA (ENSCARG00000052104.1)
Source: RNAcentral